Molecule: ribosomal RNA, 742 nt
Filed under: uncultured bacterium
Lineage: Bacteria
Description: bacterial SSU rRNA
Rfam family: Bacterial small subunit ribosomal RNA
Source: RNAcentral
GCUGGCGGCGUGCCUAAUACAUGCAAGUAGAACGCUGAAGACUGGUGCUUGCACUAGUCAGAUGAGUUGCGAACGGGUGAGUAACGCGUAGGUAACCUACCUCAUAGCGGGGAUAACUAUUGGAAACGAUAGCUAAUACCGCAUGACAAUUAAGUACUCAUGUACUAAAUUUAAAAGGAGCAAUUGCUUCACUAUGAGAUGGACCUGCGUUGUAUUAGCUAGUUGGUGAGGUAACGGCUCACCAAGGCCACGAUACAUAGCCGACCUGAGAGGGUGAUCGGCCACACUGGGACUGAGACACGGCCCAGACUCCUACGGGAGGCAGCAGUAGGGAAUCUUCGGCAAUGGGGGCAACCCUGACCGAGCAACGCCGCGUGAGUGAAGAAGGUUUUCGGAUCGUAAGCUCUGUUGUUAGAGAAGAACGGUAAUGGGAGUGGAAAAUCCAUUACGUGACGGUAACUAACCAGAAAGGGACGGCUAACUACGUGCCAGCAGCCGCGGUAAUACGUAGGUCUCGAGCGUUGUCCGGAUUUAUUGGGCGUAAAGCGAGCGCAGGCGGUUAUUUAAGUCUGAAGUUAAAGGCCGUGGCUCAACCAUGGUUCGCUUCGGAAACUGGAUAACUUGAGUGCAGAAGGGGAGAGUGGAAUUCCAUGUGUAGCGGUGAAAUGCGUAGAUAUAUGGAGGAACACCGGUGGCGAAAGCGGCUCUCUGGUCUGUAACUGACGCUGAGGCUCGAAAGCGU